UUGCCGCGAAAACUAAAACGUUUUGCGUAUAAAUGAACUUAAGCUUUGCGACUUAUUUUCCUUGCCUUACCUAGCCACAGGUCAAUGACGCGCCAGAUACAUGCGUCAUCCGCCAGACACUCCCCCGAAGCCAGCGAGGAUGGCUGCGCGCGCGUUUGAGCGCUCGCGCGCGGCGACCCGUCUGUCUCCUUCUUUUUUCUUUUUUAAAUGUAACCUGGUUUAUUGAGCUCUCGGCGUAUUCUUGCGUUCCUUCUGCACUGGGACAAGACACCACUGCACUAUUGGACUACUGCAAGCUGGUGCCGUCCGGUGGAGCUUCAUACAGGAACUACUGCCUUACCUGCUGGUGUCACAACGUUGGAUGAACGCACAAAAAGCGCGGAACGAGCUUUUAUAUAGAGCAAAAUAAAUAUUUCCUCAUUGCACAAAA
Long non-coding RNA from Dermacentor silvarum, 430 nucleotides. RefSeq lists it as uncharacterized. Lineage: Eukaryota; Metazoa; Arthropoda; Arachnida; Ixodida; Ixodidae. The record is from RefSeq and is a predicted model, not a curated record. The transcript has 2 exons.